GGACUUUAUCCCUCCCACAACAAAACCCAAUCGACCUUCUCCCUCCGCAGCCCUAAAUCCCUAGCUAGCUCACGCCGACCGACUCCCAGCUCCCUCCUCAACCCUUUUCACCGAUCUCAGCCAUUCCCUCCGCCGAGCGACCCCAAAUCGCGUUCCUCCUCCGCAUCUCCUUCCCCUCCUCCCCCUCUCCGUUGGCCUCCUCUCCGUGGACAUCUUCCUCCUCCUCCGCCGCAGAGCACUCACACGGCGUUUGAAGUUUGGAGCCGGCAAGGACAGGGACAAGGCCAGG
This 289-nucleotide long non-coding RNA is filed under the name Phoenix dactylifera (date palm). Its description in RNAcentral is "long non-coding RNA (PDAC_LNC019358)". The record is from RNAcentral. Lineage: Eukaryota; Viridiplantae; Streptophyta; Magnoliopsida; Arecales; Arecaceae.